GACGAACGCUGGCGGCGUGCUUAACACAUGCAAGUCGAACGGAAAGGCCCUGCUUUUGUGGGGUGCUCGAGUGGCGAACGGGUGAGUAACACGUGAGUAACCUGCCCUUGACUUUGGGAUAACUUCAGGAAACUGGGGCUAAUACCGGCUAGGAGCUCCUGCUGCAUGGUGGGGGUUGGAAAGUUUCGGCGGUUGGGGAUGGACUCGCGGCUUAUCAGCUUGUUGGUGGGGUAGUGGCUUACCAAGGCUUUGGCGGGUAGCCGGCCUGAGAGGGUGACCGGCCACAUUGGGACUGAGAUACGGCCCAGACGCCUACGGGAGGCAGCAGUGGGGAAUAUUGCACAAUGGGCGGAAGCCUGAUGCAGCAACGCCGCGUGCGGGAUGACGGCCUUCGGGUUGUAAACCGCUUUCGCCUGUGACGAAGCGUGAGUGACGGUAAUGGGUAAAGAAGCACCGGCUAACUACGUG
This 468-nucleotide ribosomal RNA is filed under the name uncultured bacterium. RNAcentral's name for it is "partial 16S ribosomal RNA". It matches the Rfam family "Bacterial small subunit ribosomal RNA", at positions 28 to 507 of the family's 1533-position model. The record is from RNAcentral.